UCAUCUUCGGGGGUAGAGCACUGUUUCGGCUAGGGGGUCAUCCCGACUUACCAACCCGAUGCAAACUACGAAUACCGAAGAAUGUUAUCACGGGAGACACACGGCGGGUGCUAACGUUCGUCGUGAAGAGGGAAACAACCCAGACCGCCAGCUAAGGUCCCAAAGUCAUGGUUAAGUGGGAAACGAUGUGGGAAGGCAUAGACAGCCAGGAUGUUGGCUUAGAAGCAGCCAUCAUUUAAAGAAAGCGUAAUAGCUCACUGGUCGAGUCGGCCUGCGCGGAAGAUGUAACGGGGCUAAACCAUGCACCGAAGCUGCGGCAGCGACACUUAGGUGUUGUUGGGUAGGGGAGCGUUCUGUAAGCCGUCGAAGGUGGUCUGUGAGGGCUGCUGGAGGUAUCAGAAGUGCGAAUGCUGACAUAAGUAACGAUAAUGCGGGUGAAAAACCCGCACGCCGGAAGACCAAGGGUUCCUGUCCAACGUUAAUCGGGGCAGGGUGAGUCGACCCCUAAGGCGAGGCUGAAAAGCGUAGUCGAUGGGAAACAGGUUAAUAUUCCUGUACUCGGUGUUACUGCGAAGGGGGGACGGAGAAAGCUAGGUUAUCCGGGCGACGGUUGUCCCGGUUUAAGCGUGAAGGUGGAUGACUUUGGUAAAUCCGGGUCAUU
This 661-nucleotide ribosomal RNA is filed under the name Pectobacterium actinidiae. Its description in RNAcentral is "bacterial LSU rRNA". It matches the Rfam family "Bacterial large subunit ribosomal RNA", at positions 890 to 1551 of the family's 2925-position model. The record is from RNAcentral. Lineage: Bacteria; Pseudomonadati; Pseudomonadota; Gammaproteobacteria; Enterobacterales; Pectobacteriaceae.